AAUGAACGUUGGCGGCGUGGAUUAGGCAUGCAAGUCGAGCGAGAAGGAUCCGGUGCUUGCAUUGGAUCUGGAAAGCGGCGAAAGGGAGAGUAACGCGUAGGGUAUCUGCCCCCAGGCCUGGGAUAGCGCGGGAAACUGCCGGUAAUACCGGAUAAUGUCUCCGGACCAAAGGUGAGAUUCCGCCUGGGGAUGGCCCUGCGUCCUAUUAGCUUGUUGGUGAGGUAAUGGCUCACCAAGGCAAAGAUGGGUAGCGGGCGUGAGAGCGUGGCCCGUCUCACUGGGACUGAGACACUGCCCAGACACCUACGGGUGGCUGCAGUCGAGAAUCUUCCGCAAUGGACGAAAGUCUGACGGAGCGACGCCGCGUGCGGGAUGAAGGCCUUCGGGUUGUAAAGCACUUUCAGUAGAGAAGAAAUGCCUGGGGUUAAUACCCCCGGGUCUUGACGUAACCUACAGAAGAAGCACCGGCUAACUCCGUG
This 479-nucleotide ribosomal RNA is filed under the name uncultured bacterium. RNAcentral describes it as "bacterial SSU rRNA". It matches the Rfam family "Bacterial small subunit ribosomal RNA", at positions 29 to 507 of the family's 1533-position model. The record is from RNAcentral.